AUGUGGCACUUGGGGACAUGGCUUAGUGGUGGAGUUGGCAGUGCUUGGUUAACGACUGGACUCGAUCUUAAAGGCUACUCUUUACUUUUCAGCU
Molecule: long non-coding RNA, 94 nt
Organism: Neopelma chrysocephalum (saffron-crested tyrant-manakin)
Lineage: Eukaryota; Metazoa; Chordata; Aves; Passeriformes; Pipridae
Exons: 3
Source: RefSeq, a predicted model, not a curated record